UCCAAGUGAUUCAGCCACUGAAUGGUGACCCUUUCAUUGGAAGUCUUGAAACUCCAGUCACCUCAAGCCCAUUGAUUGCAUGGUACCUAUCCAACUUGCCUGCCUACCGGACCGCGGUGAACCCGCUUCUCCGGGGAGUAGAAGUGGGCCUGGCCCAUGGAUUCUUACUAGUUGGGCCUUUUGUAAAAGCUGGUCCAUUAAGAAACACAGCUUAUGCAGGUAAAGUCCAAUUUAUAGUUACCUACAGAACUGUUAACUAACAAGGAAGGGGAGUAUGAAAGAGAAUUCAAUUGAACCUCAUUUGUCGAAAAAUUACACUAUGGUCCAAUUUUUUUUGUACAUAUAAUAGAUGAUGAACCCGGCGUAUUGUAUGCAGGGGGAGCUGGUUCAUUGGCAGCAGCAGGACUUGUGGUGAUCCUUAGCAUGUGUUUGACAAUUUAUGGAAUUUCAUCAUUCAAAGAAGGAGAUCCAUCAACAGCACCAGCAUUGACAUUGACUGGCAGGAAAAAAGUACCAGAUCAAUUGCAAACUGCAGAUGGAUGGGCUAAAUUCACUGGUGGAUUCUUUUUUGGUGGAAUUUCUGGUGUCACUUGGGCUUAUUUCCUCCUAUAUGUCCUUGAUCUUCCUUACUUUGUUAAGUAAAUUUCAUUAAUUGAUGCAACUAUUAUGAAUCAAAGUUGUAUAUCGAACCGCUUGAUCUCUUGGGGGAAUGUAAUGAAUUUUUACUAGCAUAUCCGCACAUUUUGUUCUUGAUUCUAAUUCUGGCCUCAGGCUCUAGUUUAGUGGUAAUCGCGCAAUGCAUAAUGUGUAAUGUGUUAGGUGGCUAAUCUUGGUUAUAUAAAAAAGAAGUGAUAUCUAGCACUCAAGGGCUGAAGGGCGUGGUUUAAUGGUCUAUGAAGUGGUUGAGAGUCAUGAGGUCUCACGUUCAAAUCUCCGAUGAUUCUUUUCAUCUAUGUGAAAGUUGGUCCAGACAUCACGGUUAUCAAAAAAGAAGAAGAAGUUGGUUUCUCAAAAUCAACCAGUUCAAGUUGGAUUGUUUAGUCUAAAGACUAAAUGGAUAGCUGUUCACGAAAUACAAAUUUGGCUUGAAAGUGGUUUAUAUGCUUGUCAAAAAUGGAACCAAAUAUAAGAUACAUGUCUUACAUAUAAAUUGUUUUAAUUUAAUCAACCAUAAAUGGUCACCUUCGAACUAUUGGAAAUGAAAUAUCAUCCAUUUGGUUUUUGGUUCAAAAAUGCCUCAAAACUAUUUGAAACAUAACAAAAUGCGUCUGCCAUUAGCAAACUGUUUCAACUAUGCUCCUCACCCGUUUAGGGAAAGGUGUGGGAACCAAGGCGUGAUUCUCACACGUCAUUCAAUAAAAAAAGUUAAUAAGGCGUGUGAGGGGUCACGCCUUUACCCUUUUGGUCUGUUUCGAUUUUGUUAAAUUAUUGAUGAAAAAAGUUGUCAUUUAGACUCUGAACUCUAUUAAAUUGCUGAAGAAACAAUCGUAUUGAUUCUCAUGUUAACAAAAAUUAUUCGACUAUAAGCUGAUUCGCGCAACUCAACUAUUAAGCAUACCAAAAUUACUUAAUCCCUUUCCAAUUUAAUUUGUGUUCUUAUAAUGUAAAAUUAUUAAGUCAAUUUGGUGUAAAUAGGGACUUUUCUGUUUUCAAGAACAGCCACUACUGCUACUUUUUGGGUGCCUUGCAAAUCACAAAAAAAAAAACGUAACUUGCACUAAACAGGCCUGAUGUGGCAAACUUGACCUAGAAAACAAACUCCUUGCUUUCGCUGGGAAGGGGUUUUAAACUUGAGACUCCUACCUGGAAGUCUCAUGCCCAAACCACUGGGCCACCGUCGUGAAGGAUGUAAACAGGACUUUCUUUCCCUGUUUUCUUUAUACAAAAAUCAAGUAAGCUAUGAAUGAUCCAUUCUUGACCAAUGCAGUUUGGAUAAGAGAUAAUGUUUUAAAACUAACCAAUAAGAAGCUCCCACGUAAGAGUUUGAUCCACCCUAAGAACCACCAAAAUCUGUAAACCCAAAAGAUUUUCUUUGCCAGUCAUUAACAGGAUUUGUCUGCAUCUUUUGUUAUAUUCUGAUCAAACAAACAGCAGUACUGCCAAACAAUACUUUUCCAAAAUGGCUACUGCAGCAUCCACAAUGGCUAGCCAGUUGAAGAGCAGCUUUGCUUCGUCUUUAACCAAAGGUCUCGGCCUUGUCACUCCCAAAGGCAUUACUGGUGCACCUUUAAAGAUUUUCCCUUCAACAAGAAAGUCUUGCUUCACCGUCAAGGCUGUCCAAGCUGAUAAAGUAAUCAUCACUCUUCUUAUUAUCAUGUUCUUGAAUUUGAUUACUUUUUUUGGAGAUAAUUAUGAUGUUUAGAUCAAUUUGUACGUGCCUCAACAGGGGGUCAAAUUGGUAGAUUUUAUAUUUGUGUUAAAAACAUUCACUUAAUAUGUUUAAUAAUUUAUUCAGAACUCAUAAAUUUAAAAUUUCUGAUCUAUUGAGUAAUUCUGUCCACUAAGGGUUGACAAAUGAGAAAAAAUCACCUAUAGUUUGGAUUUCUGUUUUUUUUAUUUAGAUAAAUUGUGGAGCUAAAAAUUCUAAAGAGAAAUCUUGAAAGAUAAUAAAGUGUCACACUUGGAUUUCAAUCUCGCAAUGUAAAUUCAAGUUUCGAGAGUAUGCGUGAAUCUAAUUGGGGGCGUAGAGUUUCUAAGUGAAGGCAAGCAGAACUAUACAUGGAACUAACUUUUUUUAAUCACCUUUUGCCAUUAUAUAAAAAGUUACUCUUGUGUUGAGGAAAUUCAGUAAUUUAAUUCUUUGGGUAGUGACAGAAAGAUCAAUGAAUCUGAAAAUCAAUACUCAAAUGUCAUACCUAAAGCUUAUCUUAUAAGAAAAAAAAAUUCUUACAAAUUUUGGUUUGUUUUGUGUUGUUUUUCUUGAUUCUGCAGCCUACUUUCCAAGUGGUUCAGCCCCUUAAUGGUGACCCUUUCAUUGGAAGUCUUGAAACUCCAGUCACCUCAAGUCCAUUGAUUGCAUGGUAUCUCUCCAACUUGCCUGCCUAUCGGACCGCGGUGAACCCACUUCUCCGGGGAGUAGAAGUGGGCCUGGCCCAUGGAUUCUUACUAGUUGGCCCAUUCGUUAAGGCUGGUCCGUUAAGAAACACAGCCUAUGCAGG
RNAcentral lists this long non-coding RNA (3158 nucleotides) under Solanum melongena (eggplant). RNAcentral's name for it is "long non-coding RNA (SMEL_LNC000138)". Lineage: Eukaryota; Viridiplantae; Streptophyta; Magnoliopsida; Solanales; Solanaceae. The record is from RNAcentral.